RNAcentral lists this ribosomal RNA (301 nucleotides) under uncultured bacterium. RNAcentral describes it as "partial 16S ribosomal RNA". It matches the Rfam family "Bacterial small subunit ribosomal RNA", at positions 509 to 807 of the family's 1533-position model. The record is from RNAcentral.
CAGUCGCCACGGGAAUACAGAGGGUGCAAGCGUUAAUCGGAAUUACUGGGCGUAAAGCGCGCGUAGGUUGUUUGUUAAGUCGGAUGUGAAAUCCCUGAGCUUAACUUAGGAAUUGCAUUCGAUACUGGGAAGCUAGAGUAUGGGAGAGGAUGGUAGAAUUCCAGGUGUAGCGGUGAAAUGCGUAGAGAUCUGGAGGAAUACCGAUGGCGAAGGCAGCCAUCUGGCCUAAUACUGACGCUGAGGUACGAAAGCAUGGGGAGCAAACAGGAUUAGAUACCCCCGUAGUCCCUGUCUCUUAUAC